This 218-nucleotide long non-coding RNA is filed under the name Elaeis guineensis (African oil palm). Its description in RNAcentral is "long non-coding RNA (EGUI_LNC029194)". Lineage: Eukaryota; Viridiplantae; Streptophyta; Magnoliopsida; Arecales; Arecaceae. The record is from RNAcentral.
GGGUGAAGAAUUAUGCAUAUAUAUCUCUGUCUCACCUUUUGUAGUUAGAUCGAUUCUUAUCCGGGAAGAAAAAAAAUUUAGAGACCUAUCUACUACACCAGCAAACUGUUACGAGAUAUAGAGACCUGAUAUAAAAAGAUUGAAAAAAUAAUAUAUGCUUUGAUCAUGGCAGUCGGAAGACUCAAACCUUAUUUUCAAGUUCAUACUAUGACCGUAUU